Molecule: long non-coding RNA, 496 nt
Organism: Monodelphis domestica (gray short-tailed opossum)
Lineage: Eukaryota; Metazoa; Chordata; Mammalia; Didelphimorphia; Didelphidae
Source: RefSeq, a predicted model, not a curated record
AAACAGAACUCAGUAUAUACUUCUUUCUAGUCUCUCCCCUCUCCAUUCUAACCUCCACACAAAUGGCCUUCUAACCUCCACACAAAUGGCCAAAAAACCACAAACAACAAAAACUUCCUAAAUCACAGGAUUCAUUCCAUGCCGUUCCCUUUUUUCGGAAACAAUAACUUCAAUACAAUCCAGCUUGUCAGAGAGCCAAGAUUUGAGAAAGCACAACAAUGUUAAACAGCUUAAUUAACAAAUGCCACUGGAUAGAUAGCAGCUGUAGUCACAGCAUGGACUCCUGUCUUGUCAUCUGAGCUAAAAGGAACUGACAGUUGAGGUAUAACCAUGUUCAGUCUCUGAAUGUGCUACUGCCAUGAAAUAUGCAAGAACAAUAAUGGAGCACCAUGAAAAUAUGGAAAAAGGAACUCCUAACAAAGUCUGAAUGCUUACUUAUCUUGCUAUUUGAGAUAGAAGUUCAUCUAUCCUACCAAUAAAGCAUGCUCAAAGAUUU